GUCCACGCCGUAAACGAUGGAUACUAGCUGUUGGGAGCAAUUUCAGUGGCUAAGCGAAAGUGAUAAGUAUCCCACCUGGGGAGUACGUUCGCAAGAAUGAAACUCAAAGGAAUUGACGGGGGCCCGCACAAGCGGUGGAGCAUGUGGUUUAAUUCGAUGAUACGCGAGGAACCUUACCAAGGCUUAAAUGUAGAUUGACCGGUUUGGAAACGACUUUUCGCAAGACAAUUUACAAGGUGCUGCAGUGGUUGUCGU
This 255-nucleotide ribosomal RNA is filed under the name uncultured bacterium. Its description in RNAcentral is "partial 16S ribosomal RNA". It matches the Rfam family "Bacterial small subunit ribosomal RNA", at positions 793 to 1055 of the family's 1533-position model. The record is from RNAcentral.